This is a long non-coding RNA of Daphnia magna, 722 nucleotides long. RefSeq lists it as uncharacterized. The record is from RefSeq and is a predicted model, not a curated record. NCBI's taxonomy places the organism in Eukaryota, Metazoa, Arthropoda, Branchiopoda, Diplostraca, Daphniidae. The transcript is spliced from 3 exons.
GAGUUCAUCAUGUAAGAUGAUGAUGAGUGGUGUAAUUCUUCUUGUGUGUUUGGUGCAAACGCUAAGUAUAGAUAGGAAUGCCAUUUGUUGUUUGACAUAUUACGAUUCCAGGUGGACUAUUUCUCAUACAGCUCCUACUGUGGGUUGUCAGUCAGAAAAAUCUAAUCGAACUCACCACUUCUGAGUUUGCCGUAUUGCUUGUGCCUAACAACAAGCAUACCUAUAUAUAAUUUACCUUACUCACAUAUCACCAUCACCAGUGAACAACACAUGUUGGAUGUCUAUGUGGUUAGCAUGUCUGACUGUCAUAGUUAAAGUCGCAGGAUCGAUACCCCAUUGCAACAUUGUGUAUAGGUUCCGAUCGUCAGUUCAAUUGGUAAUUUAAGUUAACAAAUCAUUUGUUUACAAUUCUUCGGAAGAAAUAGGAAUAGUAUAAUUCAGUCUUUAGUAAUGGAUCUCACCAGGUACUUUAGGUAGAGUAUAAUUUCAUUUGGAAUUAUAUUGUUAAAACAUGUGAAAAAAUGCUUCGCACCUUGACGAGUUUGCUGUAUCAAUGUCAUUACAUCGUUUUGGAAUUUAAUUUGCCCUUAACGUAUAAGUCAGAUGGAUUUCAAAUUUAAUCAAUUGAAUGGAUUGAUACGGAAGAUUUCAAGACAGGAUUGAAAGAAUUAAACAUUUAAGUGUGCAUGUCAAAUAUUUUGUAUUAUAGCUGUGAUUCAAUC